GAAAGAGACGGUCACUGUUUGUCAGUGAGUGCAAAUAUGCAGUGUUUUAUGUGUCUACUGUUUUUCCUGUCAGUAAACUUGUUGCUAACUAUUGAGCUUGUGCAAUAAUAAAAAUAUAUACUCCAACCAACCAUUAAAGAGAACCGAUGUUUUUCUUUCAGAAACAAUGCUGAGACACAGGAAUACUAACAGUUUUCAAUGCGUCGUUCGAAGUGUCAUGGUUGAUAAUAAAUUAGAGAAUAAGUUCGUUCCCCGGACAAAAAAAUUUAAUAAAAAUAAAAAAAAUGACACAGCUACACCAAUCCACCAGCAGUAAACACAUUGCUGCACAGUUCUUGCACCUGGACUAACGUAAUUUAGCAUAAAAUUGGAUCACCAGUUAUUGGCUAGACGUGGUCAGUGGUGCUUCAUUUCCAAGCAGCCAAGUCCUGGUUCUUUAUGCUUAUCAAACAUAUUAUUAGCCAGAUUACACAGAUUUGGUCACAGCGGACAGGAAACACAGUCUACCCAACAACCGACAAUGCAGUUUUAUCCUACAUUAAAAUUGUAUUUGUCCAGAUGUGCAACCUAUUAACAUUGUACGGUAAUGUGCUACCAUUGGUGGAUGUAACUUUUUAUCCAGAGAGCUUAGUAAAGAUGUUGAAAGAAGCAUAAAGAGUGCAGGCUCUCGUUGAACUGUUAGCUUACUUACCGAAUAAGUACCAGGAGACUUCAGCGAUCGAUGCAUAUAACAACAACAACAACAACAACAACGAGAGAUACAAAACUGGGUAAGAUUUAUUAGUAGAAAGCAGAUAUUUGUUAGACACCAAUAUGGCUCAACUCGUGUUGUAUUGUUUAGACAUGAACGUCUCAAGGAGCUUGAACAGCCGGUCCUCCCUUGCAGCGGCUUCUCUAUCCCUGCGCUCCUCCCUUUCUCUGUACUCCUUCUCUCUCCUCUCCUCUCUGGCUUGCAGCUCCCUCUCCCAACGCUCCUGCCGGGAAAGAAGAUCCUGCUCCCUCCUCUUCUCUCGCUCGAGAGCCUGCCUCUCUCUUUCCUCUUCUCGCUCAGCCGCCCGCCUCUCCCUCUCUUCUUCUCUAUCGGCUGCCCGCCUCUCCCUCUCCUCCUCCCUCUCUGCAGCACGCCUCUCGCGCUCCUCCUGCCUUCUCUCAAGCUCCUGCAGGGCAGCUAGCCAGUACUGCUCCUUCCUCUUCUUGGCAGGGGGAGCGUCCUGUCCAGACGAUGGCACAGGGAAAUGGCUGUAAAGGACCCGACCUCUAAUGUUAGGCCUACUGUACUCUCCAUUUUAUUGUUGUUUUGUUGCUGUUUUCUUCGCGUUCCUCUUCACUCAGUAGAGAGUCCGAGCGCGCUGUC
This is a long non-coding RNA of Ictalurus punctatus (channel catfish), 1354 nucleotides long. NCBI's taxonomy places the organism in Eukaryota, Metazoa, Chordata, Actinopteri, Siluriformes, Ictaluridae. The record is from Ensembl.